Molecule: ribosomal RNA, 531 nt
Filed under: Streptococcus sp. oral clone BP1-49
Lineage: Bacteria; Bacillati; Bacillota; Bacilli; Lactobacillales; Streptococcaceae
Also listed under: 3 other names
Description: bacterial SSU rRNA
Rfam family: Bacterial small subunit ribosomal RNA
Source: RNAcentral
AGAGUUUGAUCCUGGCUCAGGAUGAACGCUGGCGGCGUGCCUAAUACAUGCAAGUAGAACGCUGAAGCUUGGUGCUUGCACCGAGCGGAUGAGUUGCGAACGGGUGAGUAACGCGUAGGUAACCUGCCUCUUAGCGGGGGAUAACUAUUGGAAACGAUAGCUAAUACCGCAUAAAAGUCGAUAUCGCAUGAUAUUGAUUUGAAAGGUGCAAUUGCAUCACUAAGAGAUGGACCUGCGUUGUAUUAGCUAGUUGGUGAGGUAACGGCUCACCAAGGCGACGAUACAUAGCCGACCUGAGAGGGUGAUCGGCCACACUGGGACUGAGACACGGCCCAGACUCCUACGGGAGGCAGCAGUAGGGAAUCUUCGGCAAUGGGGGCAACCCUGACCGAGCAACGCCGCGUGAGUGAAGAAGGUUUUCGGAUCGUAAAGCUCUGUUGUAAGAGAAGAACGAGUGUGAGAGUGGAAAGUUCACACUGUGACGGUAACUUACCAGAAAGGGACGGCUAACUACGUGCCAGCAGCCGCGGU